CUUGGCAACGGCGCCAAACAAUCGCCGCCAUCUUCUUUUCAGCCCGGGUAGUUCUUUGCUGCUGGGUCGGGCCGUUCCGCGGCGCGGAGGCGGGCGCGAAGGAGAACUACAGCUCCCGGCAGCCCCUGCGCCCCUUGGCAACGGCGUCGGGCCGGGUCGGGCCGAGCCGCCGGCGGCCGCGCCGGGGUCUCUGCGGCCUGGGGGUCCGCGCCGCCGCUCCCGCCACGCUGAUCGGGGAGCGCCAAGCUCCGGCGGGCACGCAGAGGGCCGCCCGGACUGGCGGGGCCAGCCAGGAUUCUCCAUGGUGAAGAUGGUCAGCCAUGGAAAACAUAUCGCAAUAAUAGUCCAACAGCUUAACAAAUUUAACCCUGAAAAUCAGAGCAUGGAGGAUUUCUUGAAUGAAUCAGCCAAGAUGCUGCAGACUCUUAACAUGACAGAAGAAAAAUUCGUGUUGGAUACACUAGCUGGAUGCAUAGAAUAUAAACCCUUAUUGGAUGUAGUAGUCAAUGCCUUUUUUGUUCAGGAUGGGAGAUACUGCCUGUUUUCUGAGCGUAAUCUCUAUGUAGUUAUUUGUUACCUGGCUACUUUUCAACUAGAAGAGCUCGGUCUUCAGCACUUCAGCAGAAUUGUGAAAUCUCAGGACACUGCAAAAAUGCAAAAGUUUCUUAGAUUCUUCUUCAAUGCCUUGUAUUUGAACACGUGGAUAAAAGAUGAAUGGAGUCGUUUCUACGAUUCAGAGUAUGUAAAAGAGAACUGGAUUGAUCUACUGCUAAGGUGGCAGCCAAAAGUACAGCAACUGAUUGAACAGCUCACAGAUAAAUUAAACAACGGUACUACUACUGUCAAGACUUCGAUGGUCACUCACCCAAAGGAAUUUAAUUUGACUGUGCCCAGACCACGUGCCAUUCCUAUACCUCUGCCAAUACCAGUACUGGAAAAAAGGCCACCGGUUCCUCCAAGCACCUACAAACCUCCAAAGGAAAAAAAGCAGCUGGAGGAAAUCAAAACAAAAAAUCGCCGAAAAGCAGAAGAUCUGCUCCUGAAAGCAAAUGCUGACCAGUUCAGGUGUGCAACCAUGAAGCCUGAAAAGAGAGAGAACACACAUGACAGUAUGAACAGUAAACCGGCAUUCCAGGCUCAAAAGAUCCAAAGCAAGGUUGACAAUAUACCUAUUAAAUUAAAUGCUGCAGCUAUUUUAAGAGAGGGUGCCCUCUAUCAGCGGAAAAUGGAACAGGAGCUCAAGAGAAUUGAAAAUUUGCUACGAGGGGCUGGAGACCCAUCUGAAUUCUUGAAAUGGCAAAAACAGAUGCGUGGAAAAGAUUUGGAAGAACAGCUGGCUGAAAUAGAGUGUAGGAGGCUUCAAGGGAAACUGAGUCACGAAGAGGCAGUUCUAGCCCAUCAGAAUGUAAUUCAAGAAAAUAAGAAGAAAGCUGACCUAAUGAGAGAAGAGAAAGCAGAGCUGAUGCAGCAAUAUGCAGAGAAACGUCUACAGGAACAGAAAGAAAUGAGAGAGCUGGUGGAGCAAGUCGUGGAAGGACACAAGAAUGCAAAGCAAGCGAAAGUAAAACUCCAGAAAUACAAACAGCAGAUAGUUCAGAAAGUUUGUGAAGAAAAUGGAGAACUUCUUCAGCAAGCUUUAGAAGAAGAGGAAGAGAAGCUUAGGAAAAGAUAUGAAUUAAUUCAACAAAUACGAGCUAUUGAGUCUUUACCAAGCAUCAGACAUAAGUUUGUUGAUUUAACAGAGACUGGGGGCCAUGGUUUAAUUUGUGAAAUGUCAAUAGUGGAACUACGUGAACGCCUCGCUCUACUCAGAGAAGCACAGAAGGCAGCAGAGGAAGAGAAGAGAGAGCAGAUAAUUCAUGAAAAACAAGCUAAGGAACAACUUCUUCUAGACAAACUGGACCAGAUUUCCCUAUUCAGAGCAGAACGUGGACGAGCAGCUGCUUUAAAGCAGGAAGAAAAGAAAAGAAAGUCCCAGUCUGGUGAAAGGCCUAUGAAAGAUGAACGCAUUUUAAACCUGGAGAAAAGGAUUGCAGAAAAAACAAUGGAGCGUAAAAAGCAAGCAGGACUAUUAAAGAUUACGACCCAGAAAACCAGCAUCUCAUCAAGGAAGGUCCAGGGGUUACAUAAGGAGAAAAGCUCUGCAAUAGACCUGCUGUUCACAGACCUUUGCUCAACUGUCAGUGCUGGCAAGGGGGGCAGAGGUAGAUGGUGCCAUACAUGACUGGCAAUAGCAACGCCUUGCUUCCUUACAUAGGCAGUUUCUCCAAAUCACAGCCUUGACCUCACCUCUUGUCACACAUUCUGCUACCACAGAGUAGGACUCAUCCAUACGACACCUAGCUUCCCACUUUUAUUACCAUACACUCAUCCCAUCAAAACAGCACCUUUCCCCCUGUCUCUAACUCUUGUCUUUCUCAGCUUCCUAUCACACACAUCCCAUUGCACCAAACUGGGAUGCUCAGCCCCUCUCUCACCCAAGACAGGUUACAGUUUAUCAUUGCCAAGGUUUUUACCUUGCCUUUCCCUCAGCCUGGUCCCACAACAUGGGAUGGCAACACCAGUAGGCCUACAGGCUUUGUGCUGCUUCACACGGAUUGUGUUUCCUUGGCAAGUGUCUAAAGACAAGCGGUGAGGAACUGCUGCUCCUGAUGCCACCUCUGCCAUUGCCUCAUACAUGCCUAACAUUUAGAAGUGGUUCACAUACCAGCAGCAGUAUAUGUGCCACAGCCUAUGGAACACUGAACAGUCAUGAUGGAUCACUUUUUAAAAGCUGUACUAGCCCAAUGUAGAAUUAGAACCAAAUCUCCCAAUCCAUUAAAAUAAUAAUAACUCUUUACCUAUUUCGUGAGAAAGUUAUAUGAAGCUGAAUUCAAUGAAGAAAACUGUAUUUUUUAAGUAUGUAUAGUUUAAAAACCAAGAUAGUGCAAUUUUUCAGAGUAUCAAUGUUUGCUGCCUUCAGAAUCCCCAUUUCAGGCAAGCAAAACAUGUAGGUGCUUAUACAGACAACUAGGCUCUAUCCUUUUUAGCAAAGAAAACAAUGAAGACCUAUUUGAAGAAAGGAUUUCCUAAACUGGGAUGGCUUUUGGAACUGAGGUUUUGAAUGCAUGCUUAAACACUUUGCUGAAUGGAAUCCAGAGUAAAGUAGAAGCAAUUAAUGCAGACUUCAAAGGAAAGCAGCCAUAUAACUACACGUGAGACAUUUUUAAAAUAUACAAAGAUAAAUUAUAUAUUCAGAACUGGAACUUUUGACUACCUGAUGUGGGUCUGUAUGAGUGCUCUGGUGUCAUAUGAAUGAGCAGAAAAGCCAGGGUGUGAAAGUUAUUUUGAUGUUAGAUUUUGUCUUGUUCUUCAGCUUAGCUUUACACAGUAAGUCUCUUAAGAUGUCAGUGUUUUUGUUUAUGUUCCUCAGAAAUGCUAAGACAUCUGUAAAAAAAAAAAAAAAAAAGAAAAAACAAUAGAAAAAAUUAAAGGUUACUAAAUUAUUUAGCUGUUUUGGUGUAUCUUCCAUCCAUGCUGUUCAGCUCUGCAUGACCCUACCGAAUGUUACUACAGGGAAGUGGCUCAAUUCUGGUCAGAUAUGGUCAGCAGCAUCUUUAUUGCAGUUGAACUGCAUAUUGCUGAAAAUGUUGUUAAAUGUGACUACAGGAGAAAAUUCCUUCCUUAGUUAUAAUGCAAUAGUUAUCUGGCAUUCAGUUUGUACUGCUACCUUUUAGGUUCCUCAAGAAGUAGAAAAAAAGUGACACUAAUCCCUUGUAUUAAAGUUCCAGAUUGUGGCUUCAGUUACAUUUGUGAUGGCCCUUUGGGCCCAAUGGGUUUGUGCUGAUACAAGUCAAGGUAACAUUUAUUGAUAAAUCACUGUCAUCUUCUUAAUAAAACAGAAUUUAUAUUGCAGUUUGGGAAACUAACCAUAAGAAAAGCUACCAUUAAUGAAAAAUACUAUUUUUCUACCAUUUUAAGCAAAAAAUCAGCUGAAAAAGUAGCAGUUUUUCUGAGAUUUUUUCAGAAUGCUUCCUUGUGAACCCAGCUUUUGAAUAAGCAAACCGCUAGAGUCUGAUAGGAUUUGUGCAACUAUUAAUUUGUGGCUUCAAGAAUAAGCUGUUGGCAAAGAAAGAACGUAAGGUUGCAAACCAUCCAGAUGUAGUUUUACCUUUACUUAACAUUUUGUGGAGUGUUACAGCUGUGUUUAAUUCAUCUAAAACUGGAGAACCCACUCGAGUUCUUUUCUAUUCGUCAUGUUAGGUUUGAUGAUGACAAGUUUCCCAAUCACAUUAGCAAAUAAACUGUGUUGACAGCCAGCCAGAUUAUCAAACAGAAGUUCAGGGUAUCCUUUAAAGAGAACCAGUGUAUUACCUGCAGUCUGAUCACCUGUGUGUCUUUCCUGCAGGAUUCUUUGCAAUUGAACCAUUGGAACGAACUGGAAAAGAGUCGGGAAAGACAGUUCAAGAACCUUCAACGUGGCUUCAGGGCCAGAGAAACAGCCAGAAAAUGGCUGCCUAUAAGGCAGCAAGAAGUGGAGC
RNA transcript from Falco peregrinus (peregrine falcon), 4520 nucleotides. It is a transcript of the gene named cilia and flagella associated protein 99, with no coding region annotated. The record is from RefSeq and is a predicted model, not a curated record. Lineage: Eukaryota; Metazoa; Chordata; Aves; Falconiformes; Falconidae. The transcript is spliced from 16 exons.